ACGUAGGGGGCAAGCGUUAUCCGGAAUUACUGGGUGUAAAGGGAGCGUAGGCGGCACGCCAAGCCAGAUGUGAAAGCCCGAGGCUUAACCUCGUGGAUUGCAUUUGGAACUGGCGAGCUAGAGUACAGGAGAGGAAAGUGGAAUUCCUAGUGUAGCGGUGAAAUGCGUAGAUAUUAGGAAGAACACCAGUGGCGAAGGCGGCUUUCUGGACUGAAACUGACGCUGAGGCUCGAAAGCGUGGGGAGCAAACAG
Molecule: ribosomal RNA, 252 nt
Filed under: uncultured bacterium
Lineage: Bacteria
Description: partial 16S ribosomal RNA
Rfam family: Bacterial small subunit ribosomal RNA
Source: RNAcentral